Molecule: ribosomal RNA, 253 nt
Filed under: uncultured bacterium
Lineage: Bacteria
Description: partial 16S ribosomal RNA
Rfam family: Bacterial small subunit ribosomal RNA
Source: RNAcentral
UACGUAGGGGGCAAGCGUUGUCCGGAUUUAUUGGGCGUAAAGAGCGUGUAGGCGGCUAGGUAGGUCCGUUGUGAAAACUCGAGGCUCAACCUCGAGACGCCGGUGGAAACCAUCUAGCUAGAGUCCGGAAGAGGAGAGUGGAAUUCCUGGUGUAGCGGUGAAAUGCGUAGAUAUCGUAAGGAAGACCAGUGGCGAAGGCGGCUAUCUGGACGGUUUCUGACGCUAAGACGCGAAAGCGUGGGGAGCAAACAGG